AGAGUUUGAUUCUGGCUCAGGACGAACGCUGGCGGCGUGCUUAACACAUGCAAGUCGAACGGUAAGGCCCUUCGGGGUACACGAGUGGCGAACGGGUGAGUAACACGUGGGUAAUCUGCCCUGCACAUCGGGAUAAGCCUGGGAAACUGGGUCUAAUACCGAAUAGGACCACAGAACACAUGUCCUGUGGUGGAAAGCUUUUGCGGUGUGGGAUGGGCCCGCGGCCUAUCAGCUUGUUGGUGGGGUGAUGGCCCACCAAGGCGACGACGGGUAGCCGGCCUGAGAGGGUGUCCGGCCACACUGGGACUGAGAUACGGCCCAGACUCCUACGGGAGGCAGCAGUGGGGAAUAUUGCACAAUGGGCGAAAGCCUGAUGCAGCGACGCCGCGUGGGGGAUGACGGCCUUCGGGUUGUAAACCUCUUUCACCAUCGACGAAGGUUCGGGUUUUCUCGGAUUGACGGUAGGUGGAGAAGAAGCACCGGCCAACUACGUGCCAGCAGCCGCGGUAAUACGUAGGGUGCGAGCGUUGUCCGGAAUUACUGGGCGUAAAGAGCUCGUAGGUGGUUUGUCGCGUUGUUCGUGAAAUCUCACGGCUUAACUGUGAGCGUGCGGGCGAUACGGGCAGACUUGAGUACUGCAGGGGAGACUGGAAUUCCUGGUGUAGCGGUGGAAUGCGCAGAUAUCAGGAGGAACACCGGUGGCGAAGGCGGGUCUCUGGGCAGUAACUGACGCUGAGGAGCGAAAGCGUGGGGAGCGAACAGGAUUAGAUACCCUGGUAGUCCACGCCGUAAACGGUGGGUACUAGGUGUGGGUUUCCUUCCUUGGGAUCCGUGCCGUAGCUAACGCAUUAAGUACCCCGCCUGGGGAGUACGGCCGCAAGGCUAAAACUCAAAGAAAUUGACGGGGGCCCGCACAAGCGGCGGAGCAUGUGGAUUAAUUCGAUGCAACGCGAAGAACCUUACCUGGGUUUGACAUGCACAGGACGCCGGCAGAGAUGUCGGUUCCCUUGUGGCCUGUGUGCAGGUGGUGCAUGGCUGUCGUCAGCUCGUGUCGUGAGAUGUUGGGUUAAGUCCCGCAACGAGCGCAACCCUUGUCUCAUGUUGCCAGCGGGUAAUGCCGGGGACUCGUGAGAGACUGCCGGGGUCAACUCGGAGGAAGGUGGGGAUGACGUCAAGUCAUCAUGCCCCUUAUGUCCAGGGCUUCACACAUGCUACAAUGGCCGGUACAAAGGGCUGCGAUGCCGCGAGGUUAAGCGAAUCCUUUUAAAGCCGGUCUCAGUUCGGAUCGGGGUCUGCAACUCGACCCCGUGAAGUCGGAGUCGCUAGUAAUCGCAGAUCAGCAACGCUGCGGUGAAUACGUUCCCGGGCCUUGUACACACCGCCCGUCACGUCAUGAAAGUCGGUAACACCCGAAGCCAGUGGCCUAACCCUUUGGGAGGGAGCUGUCGAAGGUGGGAUCGGCGAUUGGGACGAAGUCGUAACAAGGUAGCCGUA
Molecule: ribosomal RNA, 1494 nt
Filed under: Mycobacterium gordonae
Lineage: Bacteria; Bacillati; Actinomycetota; Actinomycetes; Mycobacteriales; Mycobacteriaceae
Description: bacterial SSU rRNA
Rfam family: Bacterial small subunit ribosomal RNA
Source: RNAcentral